This 492-nucleotide ribosomal RNA is filed under the name uncultured bacterium. RNAcentral's name for it is "bacterial SSU rRNA". It matches the Rfam family "Bacterial small subunit ribosomal RNA", at positions 355 to 861 of the family's 1533-position model. The record is from RNAcentral.
UGGGGAAUCUUGCACAAUGGGCGAAAGCCUGAUGCAGCAACGCCGCGUGCGGGAAGACAGCCCUAGGGUUGUAAACCGCUUUCAGCAGGGAAGAAACUGACGGUACCUGCAGAAGAAGAUGCGGCCAACUACGUGCCAGCAGCCGCGGUGACACGUAGGCAUCAAGCGUUAUCCGGAUUUAUUGGGCGUAAAGAGCUCGUAGGCGGUUCGGUAAGUCGGGUGUGAAAACUCUGGGCUCAACCCAGAGAGGCCACUCGAUACUGCUGUGACUAGAGUGCGGUAGGGGAGCGGGGAAUUCCUGGUGUAGCGGUGAAAUGCGCAGAUAUCAGGAGGAACACCAGUGGCGAAGGCGCCGCUCUGGGCCGUAACUGACGCUGAGGAGCGAAAGCAUGGGUAGCAAACAGGAUUAGAUACCCUGGUAGUCCAUGCCGUAAACGUUGGGCACUAGGUGUGGGUCUCAACCAACGAGAUCCGCGCCGUCGCUAACGCAUU